RNAcentral lists this ribosomal RNA (465 nucleotides) under uncultured Klebsiella sp. Its description in RNAcentral is "bacterial SSU rRNA". It matches the Rfam family "Bacterial small subunit ribosomal RNA", at positions 338 to 795 of the family's 1533-position model. The record is from RNAcentral. Lineage: Bacteria; Pseudomonadati; Pseudomonadota; Gammaproteobacteria; Enterobacterales; Enterobacteriaceae.
CCUACGGGUGGCUGCAGUGGGGAAUAUUGCACAAUGGGCGCAAGCCUGAUGCAGCCAUGCCGCGUGUGUGAAGAAGGCCUUCGGGUUGUAAAGCACUUUCAGCGGGGAGGAAGGCGGUGAGGUUAAUAACCUCAUCGAUUGACGUUACCCGCAGAAGAAGCACCGGCUAACUGCGUGCCAGCAGCCGCGGUAAUACGGAGGGUGCAAGCGUUAAUCGGAAUUACUGGGCGUAAAGCGCACGCAGGCGGUCUGUCAAGUCGGAUGUGAAAUCCCCGGGCUCAACCUGGGAACUGCAUUCGAAACUGGCAGGCUAGAGUCUUGUAGAGGGGGGUAGAAUUCCAGGUGUAGCGGUGAAAUGCGUAGAGAUCUGGAGGAAUACCGGUGGCGAAGGCGGCCCCCUGGACAAAGACUGACGCUCAGGUGCGAGAGCGUGGGGAGCAAACAGGAUUAGAUACCCGAGUAGUC